CACGUAGUUAGCCGGUGCUUAUUCUUACGGUACCGUCAUUAGCCCUCUUUAUUAGAAAAGGCCGUUUCGUUCCGUACAAAAGCAGUUUACAACCCGAAGGCCUUCAUCCUGCACGCGGCAUGGCUGGAUCAGGCUUGCGCCCAUUGUCCAAAAUUCCCCACUGCUGCCUCCCGUAGGAGUCUGGGCCGUGUCUCAGUCCCAGUGUGGCUGGUCGUCCUCUCAGACCAGCUACAGAUCGUCGGCUUGGUGAGCCUUUACCCCACCAACUACCUAAUCUGCCAUCGGCCGCUCCGUCCGCGCAAGGUCUUGCGAUCCCCUGCUUUCAUCCGUAGAUCGUAUGCGGUAUUAGCACAGCUUUCGCUGCGUUAUCCCCCGACGAUCGGGCACGUUCCGAUGUAUUACUCACCGUUCGCCACUCGUCAGCAUCCGAAGACCUGUUACCGUUCGACUUGCAUGUGUAAGGCAUGCCGCCAGCGUUCAAUCUGAGCCAGGAUCAAA
This 498-nucleotide ribosomal RNA is filed under the name uncultured Comamonadaceae bacterium. Its description in RNAcentral is "partial 16S ribosomal RNA". The record is from RNAcentral. Lineage: Bacteria; Pseudomonadati; Pseudomonadota; Betaproteobacteria; Burkholderiales; Comamonadaceae.